GUGUCAGUAUGUCAGUGUGUGUGUGUGUGUCAGUAUGUCUGUGUGUAUGCCAGUAUGUCAGUGUGUGUGUAUGUAGGUAUGUCUCUGUGUGUGUGUGUACGUGUGUGUCAGUAUGUCUGCCAGGAUAUAUUUGUGUGUCAGUGUAUGUGUGUGUCAGUAUGUAUCUGUGAAUGUUUUAAUGUCUGUCUGUGUGUAUGUGCCAGUACGUCUGUCUGUGUGUAUGUCAGUAUGUCUGU
Pelobates cultripes (western spadefoot toad) is the source of this 236-nucleotide non-coding RNA. NCBI's taxonomy places the organism in Eukaryota, Metazoa, Chordata, Amphibia, Anura, Pelobatidae. The record is from the annotation of a GenBank genome assembly.